Long non-coding RNA from Zingiber officinale, 1888 nucleotides. RefSeq lists it as uncharacterized. NCBI's taxonomy places the organism in Eukaryota, Viridiplantae, Streptophyta, Magnoliopsida, Zingiberales, Zingiberaceae. The transcript has 5 exons. The record is from RefSeq and is a predicted model, not a curated record.
UCUGACGAGGUACAGUAGCAAUCGAGGGAGAUCGAAGGUCUCCUUCUCAACGGCAAUGCCUGCGAUCUACAAGCGUUUGAGCAUCGCCGGAGGACUACGAAGCUGAGGGAAGCUGCACAGAUGGCUUAUUGUCGCCAAGGGCCCAAGCUCAAGGGUAAAGCCCGAGGAGGAAGGAGGGGGAGCGUUUAUGUUCUUGCUCUUCUUCUAAUCCAAUCCAUGGAUUGGUUCCCAGUAACAUAUCCCCUCGUCGAUCUGAUACAAGGACUUUUCAAAAGAGCAAUCUUAGAUCGACCAGAUGGUGAGGUGUACCGGUAUUCACGUAAUCGUCUUCGUUAUGACAUUACUUUGAACUCUGAAGCUAUAGGGGAAGAAGAAUCAUAUGGAACUGGACACUAGCUUCCAGCUUACACUUGCAGGAUUAUCAGUUGAGGACUAUUACUAACACUACUAUGAAGAAAAGCCCCAUUACAACUGAAGAAGAACAAUUGCUCAUCCAGCUUCAUGCACAGAUGGGCAGCAAGUGAGUUAAGAUGUUUCCUGGCCAUAUUGAAAAGAGUUGAAUAACUUUUCGAACACGCAGUAACAAGGAGAUGCUGACCAACUGGCUACCCAUUCAUCCAGUGUAUGAUUCUUCUCAAGCUUCAAAUCAAAACCACCAAGAAGUUGAUGCCCAGCCAGAAAUUCCUGCUUUAGUAGCUGAGUACUUCUUGGCUAGUGGUUCACAAGUAUCCUACGUGAGAAUGUUUGCUGACACCUUUGGAAGUAGAAUGCCACAUCUGAAGUUUCUCUGGAGGGAGCAUCGAGGCAGGAAAUCAUCUCAAACAUCGACAUGGCUGUGAAACUCUAGAUAGUUGCUAUGGUAAUAGCAGCCACACUGGAAUUGCCGCUCACUGAUCAAUCUGCGGUUCCACCUUUUGGGGAUGUUUUUGAUCCCAACAUUAGCAGUUCAACUGUGGUCGAUGAGGAACACACAAGAUGUGGCUCCAAGAGGCAGAAAUGUGAUAAAAACUCGAGUUGUCCUGAUGAUGCUGUCAUCCAGAAUUAUGAAAUUUCUGAUUGUGUUGACUUGGAGUCUGAUUUGCGAAACAUUGACGAGGAUUUUUUUCAACAGCUAGGAAGUUGAUGUAGGAGCUGCUGCUGCUGAUGUUCCUCAGUGUUUUGAAGCUGAUGUGCAAGCUUUACUGAAUGCUUCAACAUUUCAAGAUCCAUUUCUCUUCGAAAACCCUGUUGCCAUCAUUGAACACAAUGAAUUCCUUACAAUUCAGGUGAUAACUUCUUUUAAUUUCUUGAGUUUGUUUAACUAUUGAUGCUACUUGAAGAAACUCGGCUCAAGGAAAACUAUCUAGUAGCAAACUCUAACCCCAUGAGUGAGGAUGAAAUAGAACACCCGUGGAACAAGAAUUUUGCAAUGAACACAAGAUGACACUUCCUGAAGCUAUCAACUGUGAGCUCUUUGGCUUAAUAUGACGCGUGUAUUUGCUCCAAAGGGCAACAAGGAGCAUUACGAAAUGCCUCCAAACCUAAUGAAAUAGCAGUAAAUGUUGAACAUCUUUUGAUUGCUACCAUGAAGAAGAAACUUGUCUUAUCUAAGGAAUUACUCAAAUAAAGUUGGUUCAAGCACUAUUGGAACAAACUUUUUCAGAGUGGAACUUGAAGAUUUGAUGAAGCAAAUUGGUAAGUGAUUAGCCCGGUGCAGAUGUUCCAGGAUUUUUAAGAGGACAACACCACCUAUUGAAAAUUACGGAUAUUGAUACAACCUUGGGUACGAUUAGUUAGCUCAUCAAUAAGUUGAUGGCAUAAACCAGUGAAGCUUGAUACGUGUAUUUUGUUUUGUUUAUACUAUCGACGUAUUUUUUUGAUUAUAGACAUCAUCGUUUUGAUUUUGUCA